GACGACGCUGGCGGCGUGCUUAACACAUGCAAGUCGAACGGAAAGGCCCUUUCGGGGGUACUCGAGUGGCGAACGGGUGAGUAACACGUGGGUGAUCUGCCCUGCACUUUGGGAUAAGCCUGGGAAACUGGGUCUAAUACCGAAUAGGACCGCAUGCUUCAUGGUGUGUGGUGGAAAGCUUUUGCGGUGUGGGAUGGGCCCGCGGCCUAUCAGCUUGUUGGUGGGGUAAUGGCCUACCAAGGCGACGACGGGUAGCCGGCCUGAGAGGGUGUCCGGCCACACUGGGACUGAGAUACGGCCCAGACUCCUACGGGAGGCAGCAGUGGGGAAUAUUGCACAAUGGGCGCAAGCCUGAUGCAGCGACGCCGCGUGGGGGAUGACGGCCUUCGGGUUGUAAACCUCUUUCAGUAUCGGCGAAGCUCCAAGGUUUUCUUUGGGGUGACGGUAGGUACAGAAGAAGCACCGGCCAACUACGUG
RNAcentral lists this ribosomal RNA (477 nucleotides) under uncultured bacterium. RNAcentral describes it as "bacterial SSU rRNA". It matches the Rfam family "Bacterial small subunit ribosomal RNA", at positions 33 to 507 of the family's 1533-position model. The record is from RNAcentral.